UACGUAGGGUGCGAGCGUUGUCCGGAAUUACUGGGCGUAAAGAGCUCGUAGGUGGUUUGUCGCGUUGUUCGUGAAAACUCACAGCUUAACUGUGGGCGUGCGGGCGAUACGGGCAGACUGGAGUACUGCAGGGGAGACUGGAAUUCCUGGUGUAGCGGUGGAAUGCGCAGAUAUCAGGAGGAACACCGGUGGCGAAGGCGGAUCUCUGGGCCAUUACUGACGCUGAGGAGCGAAAGCGUGGGGGAGCGAACAGG
This 254-nucleotide ribosomal RNA is filed under the name uncultured bacterium. RNAcentral describes it as "partial 16S ribosomal RNA". It matches the Rfam family "Bacterial small subunit ribosomal RNA", at positions 524 to 776 of the family's 1533-position model. The record is from RNAcentral.